ACGUAGGGUGCAAGCGUUGUCCGGAAUUACUGGGUGUAAAGGGUCCGCAGGCGGGCAGGAAAGUCAGAGGUGAAAGACUUCGGCUCAACCGAAGAAUUGCCUUUGAUACUUCUUGUCUUGAAUCCGAGAGAGGAUAGUGGAAUUCAUGGUGUAGCGGUGAAAUGCGUAGAGAUCAUGAAGAACACCAGUAGCGAAGGCGGCUAUCUGGCUCGGUAUUGACGCUCAGGGACGAAAGCGUGGGUAGCAAACAGGA
Molecule: ribosomal RNA, 253 nt
Filed under: uncultured prokaryote
Description: partial 16S ribosomal RNA
Rfam family: Bacterial small subunit ribosomal RNA
Source: RNAcentral